Molecule: ribosomal RNA, 1462 nt
Filed under: Lacticaseibacillus rhamnosus
Lineage: Bacteria; Bacillati; Bacillota; Bacilli; Lactobacillales; Lactobacillaceae
Description: bacterial SSU rRNA
Rfam family: Bacterial small subunit ribosomal RNA
Source: RNAcentral
GCAAGUCGAACGAGUUCUGAUUAUUGAAAGGUGCAUUGCAUCUUGAUUUAAUUUUGAACGAGUGGCGGACGGGUGAGUAACACGUGGGUAACCUGCCCUUAAGUGGGGGAUAACAUUUGGAAACAGAUGCUAAUACCGCAUAAAUCCAAGAACCGCAUGGUUCUUGGCUGAAAGAUGGCGUAAGCUAUCGCUUUUGGAUGGACCCGCGGCGUAUUAGCUAGUUGGUGAGGUAACGGCUCACCAAGGCAAUGAUACGUAGCCGAACUGAGAGGUUGAUCGGCCACAUUGGGACUGAGACACGGCCCAAACUCCUACGGGAGGCAGCAGUAGGGAAUCUUCCACAAUGGACGCAAGUCUGAUGGAGCAACGCCGCGUGAGUGAAGAAGGCUUUCGGGUCGUAAAACUCUGUUGUUGGAGAAGAAUGGUCGGCAGAGUAACUGUUGUCGGCGUGACGGUAUCCAACCAGAAAGCCACGGCUAACUACGUGCCAGCAGCCGCGGUAAUACGUAGGUGGCAAGCGUUAUCCGGAUUUAUUGGGCGUAAAGCGAGCGCAGGCGGUUUUUUAAGUCUGAUGUGAAAGCCCUCGGCUUAACCGAGGAAGUGCAUCGGAAACUGGGAAACUUGAGUGCAGAAGAGGACAGUGGAACUCCAUGUGUAGCGGUGAAAUGCGUAGAUAUAUGGAAGAACACCAGUGGCGAAGGCGGCUGUCUGGUCUGUAACUGACGCUGAGGCUCGAAAGCAUGGGUAGCGAACAGGAUUAGAUACCCUGGUAGUCCAUGCCGUAAACGAUGAAUGCUAGGUGUUGGAGGGUUUCCGCCCUUCAGUGCCGCAGCUAACGCAUUAAGCAUUCCGCCUGGGGAGUACGACCGCAAGGUUGAAACUCAAAGGAAUUGACGGGGGCCCGCACAAGCGGUGGAGCAUGUGGUUUAAUUCGAAGCAACGCGAAGAACCUUACCAGGUCUUGACAUCUUUUGAUCACCUGAGAGAUCAGGUUUCCCCUUCGGGGGCAAAAUGACAGGUGGUGCAUGGUUGUCGUCAGCUCGUGUCGUGAGAUGUUGGGUUAAGUCCCGCAACGAGCGCAACCCUUAUGACUAGUUGCCAGCAUUUAGUUGGGCACUCUAGUAAGACUGCCGGUGACAAACCGGAGGAAGGUGGGGAUGACGUCAAAUCAUCAUGCCCCUUAUGACCUGGGCUACACACGUGCUACAAUGGAUGGUACAACGAGUUGCGAGACCGCGAGGUCAAGCUAAUCUCUUAAAGCCAUUCUCAGUUCGGACUGUAGGCUGCAACUCGCCUACACGAAGUCGGAAUCGCUAGUAAUCGCGGAUCAGCACGCCGCGGUGAAUACGUUCCCGGGCCUUGUACACACCGCCCGUCACACCAUGAGAGUUUGUAACACCCGAAGCCGGUGGCGUAACCCUUUUAGGGAGCGAGCCGUCUAAGGUGGGACAAAUGAUUAGGG